UCAUCAGGUAGGAUAAUUCUUACUUACCUGUUCCUCCUUUUGGAGGGCAGAUAGAAUAUUGAUUUGAUUAUCACAUACUGCACACAAAUACCUAUAGUCAACUCUGUA
Small nucleolar RNA from Cynocephalus volans (Philippine flying lemur), 108 nucleotides. RefSeq annotates it as U8 small nucleolar RNA. The record is from RefSeq and is a predicted model, not a curated record. Lineage: Eukaryota; Metazoa; Chordata; Mammalia; Dermoptera; Cynocephalidae. The transcript has a single exon.